CUUCUUCCACUUAGCACCGUGC
RNAcentral lists this unclassified non-coding RNA (22 nucleotides) under Mus musculus (house mouse). RNAcentral describes it as "oocyte_clustered_small_RNA11346". Lineage: Eukaryota; Metazoa; Chordata; Mammalia; Rodentia; Muridae. The record is from RNAcentral.